ACUCCUACGGGAGGCAGCAGUGGGGAAUAUUGCACAAUGGGCGCAAGCCUGAUGCAGCCAUGCCGCGUGUAUGAAGAAGGCCUUCGGGUUGUAAAGUACUUUCAGCAGUGAGGAAGGUGGGUAUGUUAAUAGCAUAUUCAUUUGACGUUAGCUGCAGAAGAAGCACCGGCUAACUCCGUGCCAGCAGCCGCGGUAAUACGGAGGGUGCGAGCGUUAAUCGGAAUUACUGGGCGUAAAGCGCAUGCAGGUGGUUUGUUAAGUCAGAUGUGAAAGCCCGGGGCUCAACCUCGGAAUUGCAUUUGAAACUGGCAAACUAGAGUACUGUAGAGGGGGGUAGAAUUUACCGGUGUAGCGGUGAAAUGCGUAGAGAUCUGAAGGAAUACCGGUGGCGAAGGCGGCCCCCUGGACAGAUACUGACACUCAGAUGCGAAAGCGUGGGGAGCAAACAGGAUUAGAUACCCUGGUAGCUCUGC
Molecule: ribosomal RNA, 473 nt
Filed under: uncultured bacterium
Lineage: Bacteria
Description: bacterial SSU rRNA
Rfam family: Bacterial small subunit ribosomal RNA
Source: RNAcentral